GUCAGGAUUGCCGAGCGGUAAGGCGCUGCGUUCAGGUCGCAGUCUAUUCUUGUAGGCGUGGGUUCGAAUCCCAAUUCUGAAU
This 82-nucleotide transfer RNA is filed under the name Cordylochernes scorpioides. Its description in RNAcentral is "tRNA-Leu". It matches the Rfam family "tRNA". From Rfam's summary of the family: Transfer RNA (tRNA) molecules are approximately 80 nucleotides in length. Lineage: Eukaryota; Metazoa; Arthropoda; Arachnida; Pseudoscorpiones; Chernetidae. The record is from RNAcentral.